GAGGGUACCAUGAUAGAGUAACUUGGUGCUCCAUCAUGGCGAGGAUUAUUUAGAGCAGACUUUGAAAGAGCUGUGUCAUGAGGCUUGGCCAGUCUCAAGGAUCCAACACUGCUACUUAAGUUUCCAGAUGACAAAGUCUCAGGUGUCAGAGAGCCAUUCCCCAGCACUUCUGCAUGCAACACGCCCUUUGGCAUGGACCUGGAAAAUCUCUUCAUAAAGACUCGGACAAGACAGUCCUUCAAGCUGCUCCUAGAGCAUGGGGCUGACAAAAGAAGGCAUGCCAAGAGAGGAAGAACAAGGCAGAUGCUUCUGGUGGCUGUGACCAACCACGAUCACAUACAUUUGAUGCCAUCCUUUGGGAAUCCAUAGAAAUUCCGAGGGAGGUAUUGCAAGUGAACAAGAGUUCCACAGACCCAGAUAGGAGCAAGGAUGGGAACUUUAAUUAUCAAUGUCAGUCCGACUUCAUCGAACCCAGAUGCUGGCAAGGCCUGCCGACAUUUGAACUCUAAGCCUGCAACUCUGUACCACUUCUCUGAUCACACUGUGAACAACUCGAGGGUGGGAAUGCAUCUAUCUUUGAAUGCACACAGCCUAGAGCUAGGGCCAUGCAACAAAUGUAGUGUUGGAUGAAUAAAUGAAUGAAUCUACAAAUUGUCGUGAGUAAUAAUGCAUCAAACACAACACGAUGGUCAGAUUGCAUUGCAAUGGUCAUGGCUGGAUCUUGCACAACACAACAUUUUUGAGCAUCUUGCAGAAUCCUAGAUACCCAGCAGAUCUAAAAGAACUGGCUGCUCCUUAACUGCUUAAAAAACCUCCGAUGGCUUCAGCAUUGACACUCCAGAGGACAGCUCCCUCCAGAAGAUUCUGGCACCCUCCAGAAGGGAUUCUAGAGGAUACGUCACCUUCACUCCCACUCAUGCCACACCCUCCAGAGCGGCCCUCCCAGACCCGGAAGAAUGCCCAGAUAAACAGGAGAAGAGCCUCCACUUGGUCAUAUUUCCCUAAUGGAGAAAUCAGAGGGACUGAAGUCACUGCUUCCAAGGAAUUUCAGGAAUUUUCAAAAACAUCAGCAAGACCAAUCAG
RNAcentral lists this long non-coding RNA (1083 nucleotides) under Equus caballus (horse). Its description in RNAcentral is "lncRNA (ENSECAG00000054230.1)". The record is from RNAcentral. Lineage: Eukaryota; Metazoa; Chordata; Mammalia; Perissodactyla; Equidae.